CCAGUCACGUCCCCUUAUCACUUUUCCAGCCCAACUUUGUGACUGUAAGUGUUGGACGGAGAACUGAUAAGGGUAGGUGACUGA
This 84-nucleotide microRNA precursor is filed under the name Saimiri boliviensis boliviensis (Bolivian squirrel monkey). RNAcentral describes it as "microRNA 184 (ENSSBOG00000001330.1)". It matches the Rfam family "mir-184 microRNA precursor family". Lineage: Eukaryota; Metazoa; Chordata; Mammalia; Primates; Cebidae. The record is from Rfam by way of RNAcentral.